AUGAAAAGAACUUUGAAAAGAGAGUCAAAAAGUGCUUGAAAUUGUUGAGGGGGAAGCCAUUGGCAGGUCAAGAUGCGCCCGGGCUCGAAGCUUGCUUAACGGCCUGUGUCACGCGCCGGGCGCCUGUCAGCAUGGGUUCGGCGUGCGGGAGAAACCCGCCUUUGUCGGUGGUCUAUGCCGCGCGCCGGACCGAGGUCCAAGAUUUUCUCUGGAUGCUGGCUUAAGGCCGUCAAUGGGCCCGUCUUGAAACACGGACCAAGGAGUCUAACAUGUACGCGAGUUGGCGGGUGGAAAACCCGUAAGCGCAAGGAAACUGACUGGUGGGAGGGCCUGUGCCUGCACCAUCGACCGACCAUGAUCUUCUGUGAAAGGUUCGAGUACGAGCGUACCUGUUGGGACCCGAAAGAUGGUGAACUAUGCCUGAGCAGGGCGAAGCCAGAGGAAACUCUGGUGGAGGCUCGUAGAUGUGCUGACGUGCAAAUCGCUUUUCGGACUUGGGUAUAGGGGCGAAAGACUAAUCGAACCAUCUAGUAGCUGGUUCCCUCCGAAGUUUCCCCCAGGAUAGCUGGAGCUCAUCAGUUUUAUCA
Molecule: ribosomal RNA, 587 nt
Filed under: Ulvaria obscura
Lineage: Eukaryota; Viridiplantae; Chlorophyta; Ulvophyceae; Ulvales; Monostromataceae
Description: eukaryotic LSU rRNA
Rfam family: Eukaryotic large subunit ribosomal RNA
Source: RNAcentral